AAAAUCAUUUAUUUCAAAGCCUUCACAUUUAGUGACAUUCAGAAUCUCUUCUCUUGCAGCCAUUUCGUAGAGUGACGUUUUCUGUUGUGAGUCAGCCUCAGGACCCACAUCAGGGGUCAUUGCAGAGUUGCUAUGACAGCGGGCUGGAGGAGUCAGAAACACCAAGCAGUAAGAGUUCAUCAGGGCCAAGACUGGGUGCCCUUCCACUCCCAGAGGACAACUAUGAGAGGACUACGCCGGAUGGCAGUGUUGGUGAGGCAGAGCAUAUGGAAAAUGGUGUUGCUGCCAUCACCACUUUUCCCCUCCUCCCCUUUCCUCAUGGCAAGACGCAUGGAAGAAGGGCGCUGUUAAGGCCUCUCCAUUAAUCAGAAGGUAUGAUGGGUUCUUACGUAGAAAUGCCGCUGCCCCUCUUUGGACUUCUCCAAGAUCAGCCUGACUCUCUCUCACAAUUUGUAUUAUACUUUGCUAGUGACACAGGGCUGAAUGAUAAACUGAUAUAUCUUAGUGUUACAUAUGUAACCUGUAUAAUAUGAUAUAUAUAAGUCUCAAAUGCCAGUAGGGCAAAAUGAAUAUGAUAUAUUCUGAAAUUCUGAAAAUCACAGAGCAAGUGUCGAUUAUUUUCAUGUAGAUAGCUUACAGUAAUUAAAACUGCAGAGAAGGAAACUGUGUCAAUUCAAAAAUGUAUGAGAGAGAAGAGGAAAAAUGAGGCAGAAAGAUAUGUCUUCAUCUUAAUGGGUUAUGAUUUGAAUGAUUUUUAAAUGCCAAUAGAUAUUCGUAACCUACCUGUUAGUCAAGUUCAGAGUCCUACUUAAGUUUUAUCACGUUAUACUCUAUAGGGCUAAUGAUUUUAUAACAUUUCAAAAUACGUUUAUCUAUUUUAUAUAUUAAUGCAACACUGCUUUUGGGCAUCUCUUCAGAAUUCCAUUUAACAUCAUUUGAAUAUGUAUCUAUAACCACAUACAAUACCAGGCCUAGCACUGGGAGUCAGGAGGAAAAGAAAUGGAAUUUGAGCUAUAAAAGUAUUUAAUGUAAAAAAUUCAAGAAAAUAAGGUCUAUAAAUGGAUAACUAUAAUGCAAAGAAAAAAGUUAAGGGAAUAGAGAUAGUGCUUAUAGAGUUCAAUGAGAAAUUCAAGGAGGGAAUGAUCACUACCAAUUGAGGAAAAAAAGGACAGUUUCAUGGAUGAGGAGAUAAUCUUUUAAAGGAAAGGGAAGAUUUUCCAUAGACAGAGACUGGAGAGAAACUUGGCCAGAAAGCCCACCCCAGACAUGCGGUAUUUCAUAAGCAAAAUUUGGUGUCAGGCGAAAACUUGAGAAAAGUGGGGGUAUUGAGUAGUCUAAUGUAGUGAAAUGU
RNAcentral lists this long non-coding RNA (1351 nucleotides) under Phascolarctos cinereus (koala). RNAcentral's name for it is "lncRNA (ENSPCIG00000035774.1)". The record is from RNAcentral. Lineage: Eukaryota; Metazoa; Chordata; Mammalia; Diprotodontia; Phascolarctidae.